AAAUGGACUUGAAUGUGGUGUUCCGAAUUUCCAUUUUAAUGGAAAUGUAU
Molecule: small RNA, 50 nt
Filed under: Foraminifera environmental sample
Lineage: Eukaryota; Foraminifera
Description: partial Mitochondrion-encoded tmRNA
Source: RNAcentral